AUGACGCUGCCGCUCCUCCAUGUGACUCCGCCCCCAGGGUCCCAGAGCACCUCUGCCAUUGGCUGGGAUCCUCCUGCCGCGCAAUUGGCCCAGCCGCGCCGUAUCCAGCCCCGCCUCCUCACGUUCCCACCUUGUGCCUGCCGGCUUGGGUGGAGAGAGCAGGCCUGCUUCUGGAAGAAGCUGCCUGGGCUGGUGGAGCUUGUUGCAGCUCAAGCCAAGGAGCUCAGAAGGGUGCAGCGUUUGACAUAUCGUCGUAGGCUUUCCUACAAUACAGCCUCUAACAAAACCAGGCUGUCCUGAACCCCGGGUAAUAGAAUUGUUUACCUUUAUACCAAGAAGUUUGGGAAAGCACCAAAAUUUACAUGUGGCGUGUGCCCAGGCAGACUUCGAGGGGUUCGCCCUGUGACACCUAAGGUUCUUAUGAGGUUGUCUAAAACAAAAAAAGUAUCAGCAGGGCCUAUGGUGGUUCCAUGUGUGCUAAAUGUGUUCGUGACAGGAUCAAGCGUGCUUUCCUUAUUGAGGAGCAGAAAAUCGCUGUGAAAGUGUUGAAGGCACAAGCACAGAGUCAGAAAGCUAAAUAAGAAAAUGAAGCUUUUUUGAGUAAUAAAAAUUAAGAC
This is an RNA transcript of Nycticebus coucang (slow loris), 617 nucleotides long. It is a transcript of the gene named 60S ribosomal protein L34-like, with no coding region annotated. Lineage: Eukaryota; Metazoa; Chordata; Mammalia; Primates; Lorisidae. The transcript is spliced from 3 exons. The record is from RefSeq and is a predicted model, not a curated record.